UACAGGGGGUGCAAACGUUGCUCGGAAUCAUUGGGCGUAAAGCGCACGUAGGCGGUUCGUUAUGUCGGAUGUGAAAGCCCUUGGCUUAACCGAGGAAGUGCAUCCGAAACUGGCGAGCUAGAGUACGAAAGAGGAUCGCGGAAUUCCCGGUGUAGAGGUGAAAUGCGUAGAGAUCCGGAGGAACACCAAAGGCGAAGGCAGUGUCCUGGGGAGUACCUGACGCUCAGGUGCGAAAGCCAGGGGAGCGAACGGG
RNAcentral lists this ribosomal RNA (253 nucleotides) under uncultured bacterium. RNAcentral describes it as "partial 16S ribosomal RNA". It matches the Rfam family "Bacterial small subunit ribosomal RNA", at positions 524 to 776 of the family's 1533-position model. The record is from RNAcentral.